Small nuclear RNA from Callithrix jacchus (white-tufted-ear marmoset), 107 nucleotides. The record is from Ensembl. NCBI's taxonomy places the organism in Eukaryota, Metazoa, Chordata, Mammalia, Primates, Cebidae.
GUGCUCACUUCGGCAGCACAUGUACUAAAAUUGGACCGAUACAGAGAAGAUGAGCAUGGCUCCCGCGCAAAGAUGACGCGAAAAUUCAUGAAGCCUUCCAUAUUUUU